Mya arenaria is the source of this 891-nucleotide long non-coding RNA. RefSeq lists it as uncharacterized. Lineage: Eukaryota; Metazoa; Mollusca; Bivalvia; Myida; Myidae. The transcript has 3 exons. The record is from RefSeq and is a predicted model, not a curated record.
GUAUAAUGGAGGGCAAUCAACUUAUUAAAACCAAGACUUAUAUUCAAAAUAUUAAACACGCACUUCUUAUUCGGCUAGGUAUACUUCAUAAAGAAUAAAAAUGAAUACAACACCUACUAGUAUGAUACAAAAUGUCUUCAAGUCGACGGCUGUGACCUACCUGAACACCACAAACAAUAAUAAUGACGAUCCUAUGUUUGUGACACUGCGCCUCCUUGUAUUCCUAUUUGUGGUCGUGAUAUUCUUUGUUCUUGGUCUAGGCUGCUAUAGAAUUCGACAACGUUGUUCCAAGGAUUACAACCACUUUCUCGACGUCAUUUAGCAGUCAUUGUGGCGGGAAAAAAGUUCUCAGCAACAUUUCAAAAGAAUUAAAGUGUGGCCAGAAAAAAAUAUGAUUACGACGUUUUGUGUCGAUAACAUUCAACAUCUGACGAACAAAGGACAUUUCGAUUGUUGGAUCAAAUUAAUGUACAGCAUGACUCAGAUUUAGCAUCAGAAAGGGAGUUGUUUAUACUGUCCGGCGAAUAAUGAAAAUAACUUUUGUGCAAUAUUGUGUGAUACAUGAUCAAAAUUGAUUGUAAAAAGUUUGGGGUCACGCAAUUUUUGUUGCACGUCGACCAGAGGUCAUGUUGUUACAGUUGUGACCGCCAAUUUUUGAUGUUAAGACGAACGAUAGGAGGACAUUUGAUUUGAGGUCUUACGUGACUGUACCAUAUUUUAUAUUAUGUACACAUUUAUUUUAAAAUCAUAUAUAAGUGCAAAUAGAUGUAUCUAGAUACGAUCUAUUUCAAUCAAGUGCGUGUGUGCGUGCGUGCGUGCGUACUCUCAUACUUUAGAACCCAAUAUCCAUCGUUCUAAAUUGAUUGUAUGAGACAUGUGUACAUAAAUAAA